This 451-nucleotide ribosomal RNA is filed under the name uncultured Streptococcus sp. RNAcentral's name for it is "bacterial SSU rRNA". It matches the Rfam family "Bacterial small subunit ribosomal RNA", at positions 925 to 1382 of the family's 1533-position model. Lineage: Bacteria; Bacillati; Bacillota; Bacilli; Lactobacillales; Streptococcaceae. The record is from RNAcentral.
ACAAGCAGUGGAUUAUGUGGUUAAUUCGAAGCAACGCGAAGACUUACCAGGACUUGACAUCCUUUGACGACCAUAGAGAUAUGGUUUCCCUUCGGGGCAAAGAGACAGGUGGUGCAUGGUUGUCGUCAGCUCGUGUCGUGAGAUGUUGGGUUAAGUCCCGCAACGAGCGCAACCCCUAUUGUCAGUUGCCAUCAUUUAGUUGGGAACUCUGGCGAGACUGCCGUGGACAACACGGAGGAAGGUGGGGAUGACGUCAAAUCAUCAUGCCCCUUAUGACCUGGGCUACACACGUGCUACAAUGGUUGGUACAACGAGUUGCGAGUCGGUGACGGCGAGCUAAUCUCUUAAAGCCAAUCUCAGUUCGGAUUGUAGGCUGCAACUCGCCUACAUGAAGUCGGAAUCGCUAGUAAUCGCGGAUCAGCACGCCGCGGUGAAUACGUUCCCGGGCCUU